AUUGAACGCUGGCGGCAGGCCUAACACAUGCAAGUCGAACGAGUGGCGGACGGGUGAGUAAUGUCUGGGAAACUGCCUGAUGGAGGGGGAUAACUACUGGAAACGGUAGCUAAUACCGCAUACCAUCGGAUGUGCCCAGAUGGGAUGAGAUAGUAGGUGGGGUAAAGGCUCACCUAGGCGACGAUCCCUAGCUGGUCUGAGAGGAUGACCAGCCACACGGGAACGUAGACACGGCCCAGACUCCUACGGGAGGCAGCAGUGGGGAAUAUUGCGCAAUGGGCGCAAGCCUGAUGCAGCCAUGCCGCGUGAAUGAAGAAGGUCUUCGGUUUGUAAAGUACUUUCAGCGGGGAGGCGUUACCCGCAGAAGAAGCACCGGCUAACUCCGUGCCAGCAGCCGCGGUAAUUC
RNAcentral lists this ribosomal RNA (406 nucleotides) under uncultured bacterium. Its description in RNAcentral is "partial 16S ribosomal RNA". It matches the Rfam family "Bacterial small subunit ribosomal RNA", at positions 30 to 526 of the family's 1533-position model. The record is from RNAcentral.